GUAUCUCAAAAACAUAAUCAUUCAACGUAAGGUAAUCGACAUCUCGUUCUAAUGUGUAAAUGAAAACAUGACCUCAUUCACAUCCAUGUUGUAAUGCCCCAUAAUAAUUUGGAUGAGGUGUCAAUGCAACCUGUCAUACUAAUCAAUUUUAUAGCAUCACUUCUCAACAUAAAGCAACUGGAAUUUCAUUUCCAAUAUAUGUUUAACAUAAAUUCAUC
This 218-nucleotide long non-coding RNA is filed under the name Carica papaya (papaya). RNAcentral's name for it is "long non-coding RNA (CPAP_LNC008613)". The record is from RNAcentral. Lineage: Eukaryota; Viridiplantae; Streptophyta; Magnoliopsida; Brassicales; Caricaceae.